CAAUAGCGUAUAUUAAAGUUGUUGCGGUAAAAAAGCUCGUAGUUGGAUUUCUACCGAAGAUAGCCGGUCGGGUCUUCGACCUUGUAUCUGGUUUUGUCUUUGGUAUCCUCAUGGGGAACGUUGCUGCGCUUCACUGCGUGGUGCGGUAUCCAUGACUUUUACUUUGAGGAAAUUAGAGUGUUCACGGCAGGCAAACGCCCUGAAUAUAUUAGCAUGGAAUAAUAACAUAGGAUCUUCGUCCUAUUUUGUUGGUUUCUAGGGCUAAGAUAAUGAUUAAUAGGGAUAAUUGGGGGCAUCUGUAUCAACGCGUCAGAGGUGGAAUUCUUGGAUUGCGUUGCGACAAACUACUGCGAAAGCAUUUGCCAAGGAUGUUUUCAUUGAUCAAGAACGAAAGUAAGGGGAUCGAAGACGAUCAGAUACCGU
Molecule: ribosomal RNA, 423 nt
Filed under: uncultured eukaryote
Lineage: Eukaryota
Description: SSU rRNA
Rfam family: Eukaryotic small subunit ribosomal RNA
Source: RNAcentral